RNAcentral lists this ribosomal RNA (104 nucleotides) under Caerostris darwini. The record is from RNAcentral. Lineage: Eukaryota; Metazoa; Arthropoda; Arachnida; Araneae; Araneidae.
UACCAUGCUAAAUAUACCGGUUCUCGUUAGAUCACCGAAGUCAAGCAUCAUUGGGCGUGGUCAGUACUUGUGUGAGUGACCACCGGGAAACACCGCGUGCCGUU